GAAUAUUGCACAAUGGGGGAAACCCUGAUGCAGCCAUGCCGCGUGUGUGAAGAAGGCCUUCGGGUCGUAAAGCACUUUCAGUGGUGAGGAAGGCCACAAGGUUAAUACCCUUGUGGAUUGACGUUAGCCACAGAAGAAGCACCGGCUAACUCCGUGCCAGCAGCCGCGGUAAUACGGAGGGUGCAAGCGUUAAUCGGAAUUACUGGGCGUAAAGCGCACGCAGGCGGUUUGUUAAGCGAGAUGUGAAAGCCCCGGGCUCAACCUGGGAACCGCAUUUCGAACUGGCAAACUAGAGUCUUGGAGAGGGGGGUAGAAUUUCCGGUGUAGCGGUGAAAUGCGUAGAGAUCGGAAGGAAUACCAGUGGCGAAGGCGGCCCCCUGGCCAAAGACUGACGCUCAGGUGCGAAAGCGUGGGGAGCAAACAGG
RNAcentral lists this ribosomal RNA (425 nucleotides) under uncultured bacterium. RNAcentral's name for it is "bacterial SSU rRNA". It matches the Rfam family "Bacterial small subunit ribosomal RNA", at positions 359 to 776 of the family's 1533-position model. The record is from RNAcentral.